GUCUAUGGCCAUACCAGCCUGAACGUGCCCGAUCUCAUCUGAUCUCAGAAGCUAAGCAGGGUCGGUCCUGGUUAGUACUUGAAUGGGAGUUCUAGGAAUGUUCCAGGAAGUGAUAUAAG
Molecule: ribosomal RNA, 119 nt
Organism: Mustela putorius furo (domestic ferret)
Lineage: Eukaryota; Metazoa; Chordata; Mammalia; Carnivora; Mustelidae
Source: Ensembl